RNAcentral lists this ribosomal RNA (367 nucleotides) under uncultured organism. RNAcentral's name for it is "bacterial LSU rRNA". It matches the Rfam family "Bacterial large subunit ribosomal RNA", at positions 2099 to 2465 of the family's 2925-position model. The record is from RNAcentral.
CUUUACUGUAACUUGAAAUUGAAAUUGGACUUUACUUGCGCAGUAUAGGUGGGAGGCGUUGAGAAUAUUCUUGCGGGAAUAUUGGAGCCAUCAGUGAGAUACCACUCUGGUAAUGUUAGAUUUCUAACUUUGAAUCAUUAUCUGGUCAAAGAACAGUUUCAGGCGGGCAGUUUGACUGGGGCGGUCGCCUCCUAAACGGUAACGGAGGCGCACAAAGGUUUCCUCUGAACGGGUAGAAAUCGUAUCUAGAGUGUAAAGGCGUAAGGAAGCUUGACUGUGAGACCUACAAGUCGAGCAGGGACGAAAGUCGGUCUUAGUGAUCUGACGGUGCUGAGUGGAAAGGCCGUCACUCAACGGAUAAAAGUUA